CACGAUAAGCUGGGUACUGGGGCUUCACUUGAAAUUGUUUAAAGCUUAAAAUUGCUACCCUGCUAACAUAUGCAUAGAGUACAGACAAUUCUGGGGCCCCAAGGCAGGCUUACUGUCCUGUCCUUCUUGGAGACCAUUAGUCCCCUCAGCUCUUGCGAAUCCUACUACCAAUCCAGGCCUCCAUCCCAGAGCAAAUGUGUGGGCACCCAUUUUUAAAGGUUAGGUUUACAGAACUUUGAUCUCUCCUGCCUCCGUGCACAAGAUCCUCAGGUCCAUACAUGAAGGUCCAUACAACUGAAUCAGCUGACAUGGUGAAUGUAAAGGCAAAGGGUGAUGGAGUGGUGGUUAUAGAUCGGUUUCAAAUGUUGUCAGUUCACGUUGUUCUCCACCAACAUAAAGACUUACCCCUGCUGCGAUGCUCCAAUAUUACUGAAGACUCUUGCUGUUUUCAGCAAGGUGGGUCACUUUCCCCACUGGUAUUUGUUGACAUGUGAUCACAGUGAGGCUGCCAAGAGGAUUAAAAUUGGGCAGCUUUAUAAUUCCUGUUCCUAGUAAGAUCAUCAACCGGAGAGAAUGUAAAUGAUGUGCAAUUAUCUAACUAUGAAAUUACAAUUUGUACGCUUGCUGACUGAGUAUGAGACUGUCUGAGAUUUGUUUGAUCCUUGCCUGGUUGAAUAAUGAUGUGUCAUCGAUUGUAUAGAAAUAAACUGAUCACUAUAC
RNA transcript from Chiloscyllium plagiosum (whitespotted bambooshark), 720 nucleotides. RefSeq lists it as uncharacterized. Lineage: Eukaryota; Metazoa; Chordata; Chondrichthyes; Orectolobiformes; Hemiscylliidae. The record is from RefSeq and is a predicted model, not a curated record.